RNAcentral lists this microRNA precursor (100 nucleotides) under Marmota monax (woodchuck). The record is from RNAcentral. Lineage: Eukaryota; Metazoa; Chordata; Mammalia; Rodentia; Sciuridae.
AUAGGAAUCACCUGGGGAUCUUGUUAGACUUCAGAUUCUGAUGAGAGUGGGAGUAAAGGAUGAGGUUCUGCACUUCUAAAAUGUUCCAAGUGAUGCUGCU